GAUGAAGAACGCAGCGAAACGCGAAAGGUAAUGCGAAUUGCAGAAUCAGUGAGUCAUCGAAUCUUAAAACGCACAUUGCGCCUCUAGGUAUUCCUGGAGGCACGCCUGUUCGAGCGCCAUUACACACUCCAAGCUCUGCUUGAUGUUGGACGACCCGAGAGAUCGGACGUCUGGAACGUGUGGGCGUCGGGCGUCGGACCACGAGCGUAGCAAGACCAUCAAACAGUCAAGUCGUUCUGUGGAGCCGGCGGUCGACCGCCUCUUUUUACAACUUUAACCACAAGUUUGGCCUCGGAUCAGGCGGGGAUACCCGCUGAACUUAAGCAUAUCAAUAAGCGGAGGA
This 343-nucleotide unclassified non-coding RNA is filed under the name soil metagenome. Its description in RNAcentral is "partial contains 5.8S ribosomal RNA, internal transcribed spacer 2, and large subunit ribosomal RNA". The stretch from base 1 to 119 matches the Rfam family "5.8S ribosomal RNA", at positions 35 to 154 of the family's 154-position model. The record is from RNAcentral.